CUUCUAACUACACAAUUGCAAGUCUCAGCAUACCCGUGAGGACGCCCCCCCCCCCAGGGCGGGGCAAAUUUUAGGGCCAAAUUCCUAACCCAAAAAUUAAGCCGUAAAUCCUAUUUACACCCCCACCACGCACAGGGAACUACGAGUCCAUGCUUAAAACCCAAAGGACUUGACGGUGCCCCAUCCAACUAGAGGAGCCUGUUCUAUAAUUGAUAAUCCCCGCUUUACCUCACCCCUACUAGCCCAUCAGCCUGUAUACCUCCGUCGCAAGCUUACCAUGUGAACGUCAGACAGUAAGCUGUCAGGUCAAGGUGCAGCCCACGUAGUGGAAAGCAAUGGGCUACAAUUUCUAUAUUAGAACACACGGAAAGCAGCACGAAACUGCUGCUAGAAGGCGGAUUUAGCAGUAAGAAGAAAGUAUAGAGUUCUUCUUAACCCGGACCUGGGUCGCGUACAAACCGCCCGUCACCCUCUUCAACGCCCUACCCCCCACCCCCAUCUAAACAAUUUCAGCACCCAAGAAGAGGUAAGUCGUAACAUGGUAAGUAUACUGGAAGGUGUACUUGGAACAA
RNAcentral lists this ribosomal RNA (572 nucleotides) under Platymantis sp. 3 CDS-2015. RNAcentral's name for it is "partial 12S ribosomal RNA". The stretch from base 135 to 566 matches the Rfam family "Bacterial small subunit ribosomal RNA", at positions 875 to 1520 of the family's 1533-position model. The record is from RNAcentral. Lineage: Eukaryota; Metazoa; Chordata; Amphibia; Anura; Ceratobatrachidae.